GAAUAAUGUAUACAACUGACUCUCAGGAAUAAGUUAAUGAGACAGCAAACAGGGCAAAACACCGAACAAUCCAUUGAUCUAAGUAAAUGAUAUAUGAGAAUUAUUUGUACUAUUAUUUUAACUUUUCUAAAGUUUGUAAAAAUUGUAUCAAAAUUAAAAUUUAUCAAAAAAUUUAAAAGGAUGUCCCAAGAAUAGAAGACCUAAUGAACCUAAGAUUUUCUAAUAGAUAUGAAACCCUGUUGCAUCUUCAAAGUGAUUGUAUUAUAAUUGAGCAGGAUGAAACAGAUUGGGGACUAUAGGGAGUUUGAUACAGACAGACAAACCCCAACUAGCUCCAGAGAAGUGAUGUGGAUCAUCCACGGGCAGCAAGAGGUGACCCAAAUCAAUUAUUCAGCGUUCAAUUCAGUAAAUAUUUAUUUAAAGCCUAUUAAAUCAUAGUACCAUUCUGGAAACUGGGGGUAAAGCAAGUAAUCAAAGUAUCUAACUUUAUACAGCUUACAUUUCAGUUAAGGGAGUCAGGAAUAGACUAAUAUACAAGACAUUAGUUGGUGAUAAAUGCUUUAGAGAAAAAUAAGUCCAAGUAAAGCUGAUAGGGAGUGCCAGGAAGUAGCAAAGAACUGGUUCAUUUAUGAUAGGAAAGUUUUAGUAAUAAGGUCAUAUUUUUAGAGUCCUGUGUUAGUCAGCUUUUCAAUGCUGUUACCAAAACACCUGACGCAAGCAACUUACAGAAGGAAUGAUUUAUUUUGGCUCACAGUUUCGGAGGUUUUAGCCAAUGGUCAGCUGGCUCCAUCACUUUGGGUCUACAUUAAGGUAGAAGGGCAUGGUAAAGGAAAAGUGCUCAUCUCAUUGCAACUGGAAAG
This 860-nucleotide long non-coding RNA is filed under the name Marmota monax (woodchuck). Lineage: Eukaryota; Metazoa; Chordata; Mammalia; Rodentia; Sciuridae. The record is from RNAcentral.